UCCUACGGGACGCAGCAGUGAGGAAUAUUGGUCAAUGGUCGGGAGACUGAACCAGCCAAGCCGCGUGAGGGAUGAAGGUACAGAGUAUCGUAAACCUCUUGUGUCAGGGAACAAAGGCGGGGACGUGUCCCCGGAUGAGUGUACCUGAAGAAAAAGCAUCGGCUAACUCCGUGCCAGCAGCCGCGGUAAUACGGAGGAUGCGAGCGUUAUCCGGAUUCAUUGGGUUUAAAGGGUGCGCAGGCGGUCUGUUAAGUCAGCGGUCAAAGCCCGGGGCUCAACCCCGGCCCGCCGGUGAAACUGGCAGG
This 305-nucleotide ribosomal RNA is filed under the name uncultured bacterium. RNAcentral's name for it is "bacterial SSU rRNA". It matches the Rfam family "Bacterial small subunit ribosomal RNA", at positions 337 to 640 of the family's 1533-position model. The record is from RNAcentral.